Molecule: transfer RNA, 73 nt
Filed under: Rattus norvegicus (Norway rat)
Lineage: Eukaryota; Metazoa; Chordata; Mammalia; Rodentia; Muridae
Rfam family: tRNA
About the family: Transfer RNA (tRNA) molecules are approximately 80 nucleotides in length. Their secondary structure includes four short double-helical elements and three loops (D, anti-codon, and T loops). Further hydrogen bonds mediate the characteristic L-shaped molecular structure. tRNAs have two regions of fundamental functional importance: the anti-codon, which is responsible for specific mRNA codon recognition, and the 3' end, to which the tRNAs corresponding amino acid is attached (by aminoacyl-tRNA synthetases). tRNAs cope with the degeneracy of the genetic code in two manners: having more than one tRNA (with a specific anti-codon) for a particular amino acid; and 'wobble' base-pairing, i.e. permitting non-standard base-pairing at the 3rd anti-codon position.
Source: Rfam by way of RNAcentral
GGAGAGGUGGCUCAGUGGUUAAGAGCACUGACUGCUCUUCCAGGGGUCCUGAGUUCAAUUCCCAGCAACUACA